Long non-coding RNA from Dicentrarchus labrax (European seabass), 953 nucleotides. RefSeq lists it as uncharacterized. NCBI's taxonomy places the organism in Eukaryota, Metazoa, Chordata, Actinopteri, Moronidae. The transcript has 3 exons. The record is from RefSeq and is a predicted model, not a curated record.
AGCAGCAGGGUGUCGUCGGCGUUGAACUGGGAGAACUGGGUGUAGCCCCAGUUAAACUGCCGCAUGCUGGUGCUGUGCACCAGCGAGAUAUUACCAUCUUGCCGUUCCGUGUCCCAUAGCUGCACACAACAAACCACAACACAGUGCAGUCUUUGGAGCAGGAGGAGAACCGGUGACCCCUGUGAGAGAAGGCCAGGUGGAGGACUUGGUCACUGUGCUCUUUCAGCGUCUGAACCUCCACACAGGGGAUACAGUCAAACAGACGCUUGAACUCCCUGUACCACGACACAGCCACUGCACAAAGAGCGUGGUAUGCGGUAGUAGCUGUAGAACAGCUCCCUCCAAAGGAACUCAUCUCUGGAGACAGCCAGCCAUUGCCUGCAGGUCAGACCAGCACUCAGCACGGCAUCAUGGGGCAGACGCAGGAAGAUCUCCAACACCAGGCUGUCUGGCAGAAAUGCGCCACACUCCAUAACAUCCUGUGUAUCGAACAAACACACACAUACACACACAGAGUUUGUAGAGACUGACAAAUGGACAUGCAGCCAUUUAGUAAUGGAUCAAGACAUUUUUUACCACUGCAUUAAAGAUAUUAUGUAUGAUUAUUUUCAAUAUCAAUUACUCUCAUAAUUAGUUUCUCAAUUCAUCUGUUGGUCUAUAAAAUGUAAGACAAUUGUGAUUAUGUUUUCCUACAGCCCAAGUUGCUGUUUUCAGAUGUGUCUUGUUUUGUCCAACUAACAGUCCAAAUAUAUUUACUUUACUGCUAAGAUUAGACAUAGAAAGCAGUAAAUCCUUAAGUACACAGCUGUAACUAGGUAAUGUGAGAACUAAUUGUUUCAGCUCUAGUCAAAUACAGAGGUGGACAUAGAGACCACAUUAAUACUUUGCUUAUAACUUGACUUUGAUACUGAUUUUGCAAAAAGUAGCUUGAAAUAAACUGGUUUAAACUGAAA